CAGCGUCCCAAGUGGCGAUCCUUUUUAUUUGGCCUAAAGCGUCCGUAGCUGGUUUAGUAAAUCUUUUGUGAAAUCGUUAGGCCUAACUUAACGACGUGCAGGAGACACUUUAUGACUAGGGACCAGGAGGGGUUAGAAGUAUUCUUAGGGGAGCGGUAAAAUGCUAUAAUCCUAAGAAGACUACCUGUGGCGAAGGCGUCUAACCAGAAUGGAUCCGACAGUGAGGGACGAAAGCGAGGGGAGCAAACCGGAUUAGAGACCCGAGUAGUCC
Molecule: ribosomal RNA, 271 nt
Filed under: uncultured archaeon
Lineage: Archaea
Description: partial 16S ribosomal RNA
Rfam family: Archaeal small subunit ribosomal RNA
Source: RNAcentral